UGACAGUGAACUGGCUGCAACAUCUGUCAGCUGUUUGUUCAGCUGAUCUGGUUCCCUAGGUGGGUGUCCCCUUCCUCCCUGAAUGCUCCAUGUGCUUCUCUCCUGAAGCUGUGUGCUUGGUGAAAGAGGACAACCAUCUAGAUCAGAGGUGUCAAACUUGUAUCAUCA
Molecule: small nuclear RNA, 168 nt
Filed under: Ophiophagus hannah (king cobra)
Lineage: Eukaryota; Metazoa; Chordata; Lepidosauria; Squamata; Elapidae
Description: 7SK RNA
Rfam family: 7SK RNA
About the family: 7SK was discovered as an abundant small nuclear RNA in the mid-70s but a possible function has only recently been suggested.
Source: Rfam by way of RNAcentral